UACGUAGGGGGCUAGCGUUAUCCGGAAUUACUGGGCGUAAAGGGAGCGUAGGCGGACUUUUAAGUGAGAUGUGAAAUACCCGAGCUCAACUUGGGUGCUGCAUUUCAAACUGGAAGUCUAGAGUGCAGGAGAGGAGAAUGGAAUUCCUAGUGUAGCGGUGAAAUGCGUAGAGAUAUGGAGGAACACCAGUGGCGAAGGCGGCUUCCUGGUCUGUAACUGACACUGAGGCGCGAAAGCGUGGGGAGCAAACAGGAUUAGAUACCCCGGUAGU
RNAcentral lists this ribosomal RNA (271 nucleotides) under uncultured prokaryote. RNAcentral's name for it is "partial 16S ribosomal RNA". It matches the Rfam family "Bacterial small subunit ribosomal RNA", at positions 524 to 794 of the family's 1533-position model. The record is from RNAcentral.